Long non-coding RNA from Homo sapiens (human), 309 nucleotides. RefSeq lists it as uncharacterized. The record is from RefSeq and is a predicted model, not a curated record. Lineage: Eukaryota; Metazoa; Chordata; Mammalia; Primates; Hominidae. The transcript is spliced from 3 exons.
UGUGGAGACCCAGCUCUACCUUGUGCUCCAGGCUGGAGUCUUUAAACAUCAGUGAGAAUGGCUUGAUAUGCUCUCUUCUCAAUUUAUCGCCACUCCGCAAGUCGAUGGUAAAAAAUGCAAGCAACUUGCAGCCUCCCACCAUUUCACAGGGUUACACAGCACGAGACGGGGAAAGGCAUAACCACCACGGCUGGUCACUGGAUAUGGAUACAUGGAUGCAGAAACUGCAUUGGCUUACGAAGACACACCAGCCUCUCAGCUUGGCUAUGUUUAGAACACAGGCUAGAUGAAGAUAAGAUUAUGGAGUCA